CGUAGGUGGCAAGCGUUGUCCGGAUUUAUUGGGUUUAAAGGGUGCGUAGGCGGUUUUAUAAGUCAGUGGUGAAAUCCGGCAGCUUAACUGUCGAUGUGCCAUUGAUACUGUAAGACUUGAGUACUGAUGAGGUAGGCGGAAUUGACGGUGUAGCGGUGAAAUGCUUAGAUAUCGUCAAGAACACCGAUAGCGAAGGCAGCUUACUAAGGAGUAACUGACGCUGAUGCACGAAAGUGUGGGGAUCAAACAGGAUUAGAUACCCUGGUAGUCCACACUGUAAACGAUGAUUACUCGAUGUUGGCGAUACACAGCCAGCGUCUUAGCGAAAGCGAUAAGUAAUCCACCUGGGGAGUACGCCGGCAACGGUG
RNAcentral lists this ribosomal RNA (368 nucleotides) under uncultured organism. Its description in RNAcentral is "bacterial SSU rRNA". It matches the Rfam family "Bacterial small subunit ribosomal RNA", at positions 526 to 896 of the family's 1533-position model. The record is from RNAcentral.